GAUAAGAAUUUCAUGUCUUUUGUAUUAAAGAAUUAAAUGGAUGAAAUAUGAAGUUUUAUUAAAAGAAAAAGGGGUGAAAAGAACAAAGUUUUGUCCAUCUUUGUUCAUCAUAGCUGAAAGUUAGAGAAGAGAAAGGAGAGGAGAAAGCUCUUGAGUAUUUGGUCAUUAGGAGGAGGAAAAUUGAAGGAAAUCCCCAACCAUAGUGGGCUUGGAGCUGUGAGGGAAUUCGGAGUGGCCACCCGUUCUGAAAGUUUGAUUUUCUUCUGGUGAAUUGGACAUUCUUUUAAUUACGUUUGAGGUUUUGGGCUUUUAAAUGUAAUAAGGUCGCUUAUUUAUUUUUGAUGGUUUUUAAUAUGUAUUACUAAGAUAGGUAAUACUUAUUUUAACUGUUGAAAUUGGAUAACUUUAGGGCGCGUUUUCAAAAACAA
Gossypium arboreum is the source of this 428-nucleotide long non-coding RNA. RefSeq lists it as uncharacterized. Lineage: Eukaryota; Viridiplantae; Streptophyta; Magnoliopsida; Malvales; Malvaceae. The record is from RefSeq and is a predicted model, not a curated record. The transcript has 2 exons.